This 116-nucleotide non-coding RNA is filed under the name Hungatella hathewayi. RNAcentral describes it as "Fusobacteriales-1 RNA". It matches the Rfam family "Fusobacteriales-1 RNA". Lineage: Bacteria; Bacillati; Bacillota; Clostridia; Lachnospirales; Lachnospiraceae. The record is from RNAcentral.
AUACCUUUCGCAAUGUAGGACAAAAAACAUUGUAUGAUACAAAGAUGCUUCACAAUGUGCAAUAAAAAACAUUGUACAAUACAAAUACCCUUCACAAUGUGGGACAAAAAACAUUG